AGCAGUGGGGGAUUUUCCGCAAUGGGCGAAAGCCUGACGGAGCAAUACCGCGUGAGGGAGGAAAGCUCCUGGGUUGUAAACCUCUUUUUUCAAGGAAGAACACAAUGACGGUACUUGAGGAAUCAGCAUCGGCUAACUCUGUGCCAGCAGCCGCGGUAAUACGGAGGAUGCAAGCGUUAUCCGGAAUGAUUGGGCGUAAAGCGUCCGCAGGUGGCAAUGUAAGUCUGCUGUUAAAGAGUGAGGCUCAACCUCAUAAGAGCAGUGGAAACUACAUAGCUAGAGUGCGGUCGGGGCAGAGGGAAUUCCUGGUGUAGCGGUGAAAUGCGUAGAGAUCAGGAAGAACACCGGCGGCGAAAGCGCGCUG
RNAcentral lists this ribosomal RNA (364 nucleotides) under uncultured Nostoc sp. Its description in RNAcentral is "bacterial SSU rRNA". It matches the Rfam family "Bacterial small subunit ribosomal RNA", at positions 350 to 728 of the family's 1533-position model. The record is from RNAcentral. Lineage: Bacteria; Bacillati; Cyanobacteriota; Cyanophyceae; Nostocales; Nostocaceae.